AAACCAUGUUGUGGGCAUGAACUGAUGAGAUCCUUGAACCACUCCUAACAUUGGAAGAAUGUUUCAUCUUCCUUUCAGGUGAAGUUCAUGAUCGACUUCCUGAUGGU
Magnolia sinica is the source of this 107-nucleotide small nucleolar RNA. NCBI's taxonomy places the organism in Eukaryota, Viridiplantae, Streptophyta, Magnoliopsida, Magnoliales, Magnoliaceae. The record is from RefSeq and is a predicted model, not a curated record.